ACGAAGGGAGCAAGCGUUGUUCGGAUUUACUGGGCGUAAAGGGUGUGUAGGUGGCUAGGUAAGUUGGAUGUGAAAGCCCUGGGCUUAACUCAGGAAUUGCAUUCAAAACUCUCUAGCUAGAGUAUGGAAGAGGAUGGUGGAAUUCCCAGUGUAGAGGUGAAAUUCGUAGAUAUUGGGAAGAACACCCGUGGCGAAGGCGGCCAUCUGGUCCAUUACUGACACUGAGGCACGAAAGCGUGGGGAGCAAACAG
This 251-nucleotide ribosomal RNA is filed under the name uncultured prokaryote. Its description in RNAcentral is "partial 16S rRNA". It matches the Rfam family "Bacterial small subunit ribosomal RNA", at positions 525 to 775 of the family's 1533-position model. The record is from RNAcentral.